Molecule: long non-coding RNA, 99 nt
Filed under: Ictidomys tridecemlineatus (thirteen-lined ground squirrel)
Lineage: Eukaryota; Metazoa; Chordata; Mammalia; Rodentia; Sciuridae
Description: lncRNA (ENSSTOG00000031934.1)
Source: RNAcentral
CGCGUUCUCUGGGUGGUGGACCAGCUCGUGAGCCACAGGAUGCAUGUGGAGGUCCGUGGGGCUGUUCUCCUCUCCUUCCUCUGACCCUACGCAGCUUCA